This 149-nucleotide unclassified non-coding RNA is filed under the name soil metagenome. RNAcentral's name for it is "partial internal transcribed spacer 1". The record is from RNAcentral.
CCGAGUUAUACAACUCCUCAACCCCUGUGAACAUACCUAACUUGUUGCCUCGGCGGAAUCAGCCCGGCCCCGUAACACGGGACGCCCCGCCAGAGGACCCCUAACUCUGUUUCUAUAAUGUACUUCUGAGUAAACCAGCAAAUAAAUCA